This 370-nucleotide ribosomal RNA is filed under the name uncultured organism. Its description in RNAcentral is "bacterial SSU rRNA". It matches the Rfam family "Bacterial small subunit ribosomal RNA", at positions 526 to 896 of the family's 1533-position model. The record is from RNAcentral.
CGUAGGGUGCGAGCGUUAAUCGGAAUUACUGGGCGUAAAGCGUGCGCAGGCGGUUUUGUAAGACAGAUGUGAAAUCCCCGGGCUCAACCUGGGACCUGCAUUUGUGACUGCAAGGCUAGAGUACGGUAGAGGGGGAUGGAAUUCCGCGUGUAGCAGUGAAAUGCGUAGAUAUGCGGAGGAACACCGACGGCGAAGGCAAUCCCCUGGACCUGUACUGACGCUCAUGCACGAAAGCGUGGGGAGCAAACAGGAUUAGAUACCCUGGUAGUCCACGCCCUAAACGAUGUCAACUGGUUGUUGGGUCUUUACUGACUCAGUAACGAAGCUAACGCGUGAAGUUGACCGCCUGGGGAGUACGGCCGCAAAGUUG